AAUUGUGUCCUUUACUAGAUCGUAUAAAUCUUUCGCCUUUUACUAAAGAUUUCCGUGGAGAGGAACAUUUAUGUAAUCAAAAUAACUUCAGUGUGGCUACACUAAACAGAGCUA
This 114-nucleotide small nuclear RNA is filed under the name Chelydra serpentina (North American snapping turtle). RNAcentral describes it as "U5 spliceosomal RNA (ENSCSRG00000001575.1)". It matches the Rfam family "U5 spliceosomal RNA". Rfam says of the family: U5 RNA is a component of both types of known spliceosome. The record is from Rfam by way of RNAcentral. Lineage: Eukaryota; Metazoa; Chordata; Testudines; Chelydridae.